AACCGAUGACCAAAAAAAAGCUACUCGACUUCGGGGACCUUCUUGAUGGCCAGAAACUGGACGCACGUUUACCAUGGAGCUCAUACGCGUCUGCCACAGUAAAGAGGGAUACGUGUUUUGCCGUUUUAUAACACGCGUCAGCAGGGACUUUCCUAACGAUUACACCGAGAAAUGUGCCUCUACAUGGAAUUUCGUGAUGGGUCCUUCAAUCUUUUUUUUUCUUUCUUUUUCCUUUCUUUUCUUCUUUGAUCUCUUUGACAGGAGGUCAACUCGAAAUUGACUCGCGUAGUCCCAGCUCUCGGAUCGAGAGUUUUCAUUACUUGAACAGCACGCCAAAGACCUACCACUAAAUAUAGCGUUUUAGUACUUGCUCGUGGCACUGUGCUUGUAAAAUAUUCUUGGUAUACCACCCACCACGCUGUACCUAGUGGAAGUUCAUGCAGUGGAUGUGCAAGUGGUGCAACUAAGAAAGGAAGCCAAGGAAACCGUCUACUUUCUGUACUGGCAAAGCCAUCCGGUUGUCAACUUGUUUUACUUGGCUCAUCUUCCACCAGGAGGUGCUAGUAGCGUCAUCAGCCACGGUCUUACCAAUGCACUUUCUCUUGGACUCGACUCUGGCUACUCUUGCGAACCGGUGCCUCGUGGGACAACCGAAAGUCGCUGCCGUUAACAAAACGAUUUUCAUGGCUCGUGGGAAGCCGAUGCAAACUUCUGACACGUCCGGUCCUCCAUUUUAUUCCCAGUCCCGAGUCGCUGGUUUUAGUGGGCUGUAAAGUCGGGCUGGUUACUUUAUAUCAAGGUGGCAAUCAUAUUUCAAACGCCAAGGGAAGGCUCUUUCCUCUCUCAUUCCGCGCGCGCCAUCUUUCCUUCGGACGCAACGUUGUUCCGCGUAAUUUUUACAGCUACCGAGGUCAUGCGGUAUAAAAGACAAUUUACUGCUGCGAAAUCCUAUACUGUCUUGUCUCGCCCGUGUCCUCCUCUGCCUUUUACUGUUCGCCAUUAAACACGAUGAAAUUCGCGUAGGCCGAAUACAUCGUCUUUUAAUCGUAGAAAUUCAAACGUCACAAGUAUUACGUAUAUCGUUGUUACGUACACGUGACUACCCGCUGCCCGGUUAUCUCUGUAUCCGUUAAUUAAUUUAUACAUCGUCCAAUAAUAAUCAGUGUAACGGUAAUAACGGAGCCAACAGCCGUAACGAAUUAGACUCGCGUUAUACAGCAGCCAAAUGAUUGAUCCCCAUCCCUUUCGAGCUGACCAAAGCCCGAUAAAUGUGCCACGAUUAUUAAUUAUCAUGGACCGUCAUUAGGCUGCACAAUAUUUGUUUAAUGUCUUCGAAGAUCAUAAUUACACCGUGAAACGUAAUUAACGUUCUUUCCUCUUAAAUUUAUCAUUCCCUUGUCGGCGCACCUAUACACCGCGAAGAAAUAUAUUUGUUGCACGAAGUACUUUAAGGAGCAUUUCUCAGAUAGUUCACCGAAACUCUCGGGCUGAUAAAUUUCAUUCUCAGGAAAGCUACCGCGGAUAUAUCGGAUCUUGAAUUAUAUCACGAAUUUCUUAUACACAGUCCCUAUCGAGAAAAGGAGGUCGUGGCCAAGAUUGCAUAAAGCAGUGAUCCUCAUGAAUACGUAAAAGGGUUGCUGUUUUCUUUUUCGCUACUGAGAAAUAACAAACUGUAAUUGAAAUGCCGAUGACGUUCCGCGCUCCGCCGGAAGUCGUCGACUGGAAAGUACUUGGAAAUUUAUGCCGAGGAACCUGAUAAUACAUAAACUUUGUAUCUCGCUCUACCAAUUAAGCUAUUCUUUAACGAAUUCAUUUAGGAAAGUCAUUUGCGAAUUAAUUAGCAGUCGGAAACGAGAGUAACAGAUGUUCAUACUUAUUUGAAUUCUGAGACGCUAUGGUUAUAUUGAUGCACAUGAGAUUGCGAAUUGUAUGUUAUUCUGUCUGAGAAGAUUUAUCUAUAAGUUAUCCAUGGCUGUUAUCAUUCAUUGUAUCUUGCACGGUAGCGUUUUAAUUAACCAUUGAAAUCUUCUGUAUGACUGUACUCGCGGUCUUUUAAUGUACUUUUCUUGUUUUUAACUUCUUGGCUAUUCUUGUUUGAUAUACCUCGGGUCUCGAAGUACUAUGAAAUAUUGUAGGAUCCUAUCAGGAUGGAAAACAAUGGCGUACUUACUCAGUGAGCUGAACGUUACGAUUGCUUAUUGCAUAUUCGCUAUCCGUAAGCGGUGCGAAUAUUAAAGACUAGGGCGAAUUCUAAAAUGGUUAUACGGCAGAGCUUUGUCGUGCUGAAAUUAUUUUUGAUUUUGAACUUGCCGCAUUUCGAGCGCAUCAAGUCAAUGAAAGUAUGAGGAACGUGUGUGACGUAUGUAUGCAUGUUGCGAAUACGAGUGUGUUAUUUUUUAUUGGAUUUGUAAUCAUACGUGCCAUGUGUGUGGAUAGGUGUACGUAGAGCGUAAAAUCGAUUAAAUCUAGGAACGAUAACGGAACGGAUAUGAAUAGCAAUUUUUCUUGGAAAAUAUUGUUGCGUUGGCACGAAUACAGGAAAUUCAUAUGUGGAGCGAAUAAAUUCGUAUUAAAGCGCGAUAAGCCGCACAGAGAAAUCUGUUACCUCGUGAGAAAUACGUAGGACGUUUUCACUGUAUAAAUGUAAAACGGCGACACUGUUCUGUGCGAAAGCUUAAAAUUCGUUUGGAGUCGAAUAUUCCUAGUGAAUUUCGCAUAGAAUCUCGUUUCAACGGUCCGUUAAAAUAAGAUCCGCGAAAUAUAAAGUAAAAUGUUGCGAAUCUCCUGGCAGGUCGCCCGUAGUCCAUUGUUUUGCCCUCGCAAUUGAUAUGUAUUACUGGCUGAGAUUAUUUUUCAUAUCUGGUCGAAUUACGGUCGACGUGUCACGUAGAUUCCUGGCAUUUUAUAAUGUUAUUUGCGUUAUCCCUCAAACAAUGUAGCAUUCUCAGAAGCCAGUUCUGUUCUUUCUCCGUGACUCCCCUAAAUAUUUAGGGUGAAGUUAAAGGGUGGUUCAAUUCAAAAUAUAUCAGCCCCUGCCGGUGGGAUGACAGUAAAUAAAAUAAAUCAGUCUGACAAUAUCAAAAAUUUUAUCUCAUCAAGAGCAAACAAAGCGUAGCGCAUAAAUUUACAAAAAUUCAAAAUUUUACAUUGUAAGGUGCAAUCUUUUUUUUUUAAUAAUUUGUAAAAAUAACGCCAAAUACUUUUAUACAUCCCGAAGCUCCGAUUCGCUGGGAUUAGACAUUCGCUCGAAUUAACUGACAAAGGGAAUGCGCUGAAAAGACGUUCAGAGAAAUAAUGCGUCAAGGGUCACUCGUGUCGCCCUCUCUCGAUGUCCCUUUGCAAAUACCGUGUUCGAGGUUUUUUCCUUUUGACAAUCUGAAGGGUCCUUCGGGAAGGUGUCCACCCUUUACCACGUAUUCCCUGUCUCCGGCGUGGCCUUCAUCCAUCCCCUUCUGGUAAUGGCUUCACCCCCUUCGCCAGCAAUCAACUCUCAUCCCUUCGUUAAUUGCUUCAAUUAUAUCUUUGUUACGAGCAAUUUGAGUCGGAACAUUUUUGGCCUGUCUCCUGCUCUGACCGACGCGAAAGUUCUACUUGAGAAUGCUUGACUGUUCAAACUGGAGAAGUGACAGAAGAGGAACGGCUCGAAGCACGAAACACCCUGAACACAGCGAACCAAGAGGACUUGAACAUAGCUCAUGAUCGUGCCAAGAGGACUUAUAGGAAGUUUUACCACUGUUACCACAAACUUCGAGUUGCAUUACGAUUUUACGGUCUUAUCA
Molecule: long non-coding RNA, 3779 nt
Organism: Cephus cinctus (wheat stem sawfly)
Lineage: Eukaryota; Metazoa; Arthropoda; Insecta; Hymenoptera; Cephidae
Exons: 4
Source: RefSeq, a predicted model, not a curated record